GGAACUCGUUUGAAACCUUCGUGGCUUCCUGUUGCCUGCAGGAGAAAGUCCUGGCUUUCAAGGCCUGUACAAUCUGCCUUAACCUUCCUUUCUAGCCUCAUCUGCAACUCAAAACUUCCAAAUCAUCCUUGGACACUCCAAUCAAAGAGGACUCAGGAACCAGGUACCAUCUUGAGACCAGAGACCUAACCUGUCUGUGUCUUGAUCUUGGACUUCCCAGCCUCCAGAAGAACCGUGAGAGAAUAAAUUUCUGUUCUUUAUAUAUUACCUAGUCUCAGGUGUUCU
Molecule: long non-coding RNA, 285 nt
Filed under: Homo sapiens (human)
Lineage: Eukaryota; Metazoa; Chordata; Mammalia; Primates; Hominidae
Description: HSALNT0378794
Source: RNAcentral